Molecule: ribosomal RNA, 623 nt
Filed under: Clostridioides difficile
Lineage: Bacteria; Bacillati; Bacillota; Clostridia; Peptostreptococcales; Peptostreptococcaceae
Description: bacterial SSU rRNA
Rfam family: Bacterial small subunit ribosomal RNA
Source: RNAcentral
CAGGAUGGACCCGCGUCUGAUUAGCUAGUUGGUAAGGUAACGGCUUACCAAGGCGACGAUCAGUAGCCGACCUGAGAGGGUGAUCGGCCACAUUGGAACUGAGACACGGUCCAAACUCCUACGGGAGGCAGCAGUGGGGAAUAUUGCACAAUGGGCGAAAGCCUGAUGCAGCAACGCCGCGUGAGUGAUGAAGGCCUUCGGGUCGUAAAACUCUGUCCUCAAGGAAGAUAAUGACGGUACUUGAGGAGGAAGCCCCGGCUAACUACGUGCCAGCAGCCGCGGUAAUACGUAGGGGGCUAGCGUUAUCCGGAUUUACUGGGCGUAAAGGGUGCGUAGGCGGUCUUUCAAGUCAGGAGUGAAAGGCUACGGCUCAACCGUAGUAAGCUCUUGAAACUGGGAGACUUGAGUGCAGGAGAGGAGAGUGGAAUUCCUAGUGUAGCGGUGAAAUGCGUAGAUAUUAGGAGGAACACCAGUUGCGAAGGCGGCUCUCUGGACUGUAACUGACGCUGAGGCACGAAAGCGUGGGGAGCAAACAGGAUUAGAUACCCUGGUAGUCCACGCUGUAAACGAUGAGUACUAGGUGUCGGGGGUUACCCCCUUCGGUGCCGCAGCUAACGCAUUAA